AUUGAACGCUGGCGGCAGGCCUAACACAUGCAAGUCGAACGGUAACAGGAAGAAGCUUGCCUCUUUGCUGACGAGUGGCGGACGGGUGAGUCAUGUCUGGGAAACUGCCUGAUGGAGGGGGAUAACUACUGGAAACGGUAGCUAAUACCGCAUAACGUCGCAAGACCAAAAAGGGGGACCUUCGGGCCUCUUGCCAUCGGAUGUGCCCAGAUGGGAUUAGCUAGUAGGUGGGGUAACGGCUCACCUAGGCGACGAUCCCUAGCUGGUCUGAGAGGAUGACCAGCCACACUGGAACUGAGACACGGUCCAGACUCCUACGGGAGGCAGCAGUGGGGAAUAUUGCACAAUGGGCGCAAGCCUGAUGCAGCCAUGCCGCGUGUAUGAAGAAGGCCUUCGGGUUGUAAAGUACUUUCAGCGGGGAGGAAGGGAGUAAAGUUAAUACCUUUGCUCAUUGACGUUACCCGCAGAAGAAGCACCGGCUAACUCCGUG
Molecule: ribosomal RNA, 490 nt
Filed under: uncultured bacterium
Lineage: Bacteria
Description: partial 16S ribosomal RNA
Rfam family: Bacterial small subunit ribosomal RNA
Source: RNAcentral